UCUGGCUGUGAUGACAAACUUGCCCUCACUGAAAUGAUCUGAUUGAGAUUUUUGUUAACUGAGCCAUU
RNAcentral lists this small nucleolar RNA (68 nucleotides) under Cynoglossus semilaevis (tongue sole). RNAcentral describes it as "Small nucleolar RNA SNORD103/SNORD85 (ENSCSEG00000010598.1)". Lineage: Eukaryota; Metazoa; Chordata; Actinopteri; Pleuronectiformes; Cynoglossidae. The record is from RNAcentral.